AAUGAACGCUGGCGGCAUGCCUAACACAUGCAAGUCGAACGGCCGUACACUAAGAGCUUGUUCUUACUGGUUGCGAGUGGCGGGCGGGUGAGACAUACAUCUGACUCUACUUUUUCUUGGGGGACAACGUCUGAAAGCUGUCCUUAUUACCGCAUAUCACUUACCGCUGAAUGCAGGAGAGCUUCAGAGUUUUCUUGUUUUUUUGAGCUGAUGUCGGACUAGCUAGUUUGUUGGGUAAGGGAUCAACCAGGCAAGGAUGCGUAGCUGGUCUGAGAGGAUGAUCGGCCACACUGGAACUGAGACACGGUCCAGACUCCUACGGGAGGCAGCAGUGGGGAAGAUUGGAAAAUGGGAGAAAGCCUGAACGAGCCAUGCCGCGUGGGUGAAGAAGGGAUUCGGGUUGUAAAGCUCUGUUGUUGGGAAAGAAAAGCAGAAGAUGAAAAGCCGGAUGUUCUGACGGUACCGAAAGAAUAAGCACCGGCUAACUACGUG
Molecule: ribosomal RNA, 492 nt
Filed under: uncultured bacterium
Lineage: Bacteria
Description: partial 16S ribosomal RNA
Rfam family: Bacterial small subunit ribosomal RNA
Source: RNAcentral